UAGGGAAUCUUCCACAAUGGACGCAAGUCUGAUGGGCAACGCCGCGUGAGUGAAGAAGGUUUUCGGAUCGUAAAGCUCUGUUGUUGGUGAAGAAGGAUAGAGGCAGUAACUGGUCUUUAUUUGACGGUAAUCAACCAGAAAGUCACGGCUAACUACGUGCCAGCAGCCGCGGUAAUACGUAGGUGGCAAGCGUUGUCCGGAUUUAUUGGGCGUAAAGCGAGCGCAGGCGGAAUGAUAAGUCUGAUGUGAAAGCCCACGGCUCAACCGUGGAACUGCAUCGGAAACUGUCAGUCUUGAGUGCAGAAGAGGAGAGUGGAAUUCCAUGUGUAGCGGUGGAAUGCGUAGAUAUAUGGAAGAACACCAGUGGCGAAGGCGGCUCUCUGGUCUGCAACUGACGCUGAGGCUCGAAAGCAUGGGUAGCGAACAGG
Molecule: ribosomal RNA, 428 nt
Filed under: bacterium
Lineage: Bacteria
Description: partial 16S ribosomal RNA
Rfam family: Bacterial small subunit ribosomal RNA
Source: RNAcentral